UGGGGAAUAUUGCACAAUGGGCGCAAGCCUGAUGCAGCCAUGCCGCGUGUGUGAAGAAGGCCUUCGGGUUGUAAAGCACUUUCAGCGAGGAGGAAGGUGGUGAGCUUAAUACGCUCAUCAAUUGACGUUACUCGCAGAAGAAGCACCGGCUAACUCCGUGCCAGCAGCCGCGGUAAUACGGAGGGUGCAAGCGUUAAUCGGAAUUACUGGGCGUAAAGCGCACGCAGGCGGUUUGUUAAGUCAGAUGUGAAAUCCCCGGGCUCAACCUGGGAACUGCAUUUGAAACUGGCAAGCUAGAGUCUCGUAGAGGGGGGUAGAAUUCCAGGUGUAGCGGUGAAAUGCGUAGAGAUCUGGAGGAAUACCGGUGGCGAAGGCGGCCCCCUGGACGAAGACUGACGCUCAGGUGCGAAAGCGUGGGGCAGCAAACAGGAUUAGAUACCCUGGUAGUCCACGCUGUAAACGAUGUCGAUUUUGGAGGUUGUGCCCUUGAGGCGUGGCUUCCGGAGCUAACGCGUUAAAGUCGACCGCCUGGGGAGUACGGCCGCAAGGUUAAAACUCAAAGGAAUUGACGGGGUCAUAGCUGUUUCCU
RNAcentral lists this ribosomal RNA (589 nucleotides) under uncultured bacterium. RNAcentral describes it as "partial 16S ribosomal RNA". It matches the Rfam family "Bacterial small subunit ribosomal RNA", at positions 355 to 1375 of the family's 1533-position model. The record is from RNAcentral.